UUGUGGUCCCCUAACUCAACUGUGACACCCUCUGCUUGGGCACUGGGUCAGAGCCAUAGGGUGAGGGCUCAGUCUUCAAGACUGCCCCCCCAGGUUGUCACCUGUGCUUCUGACCCACUGGCUAUAAACCGGAGCUCUACCUAUAAGCCACUAUCCCUAUGCAGGUUCAGUGGGUUUGCUAGAGCCACUCACAGAACUGUCACCCCCAGGUUUACUGAUCUGUGACAGAGGAUGUUACAAAUACUGCAGAUGGACGAAGGCAAGCGUUGCCUAGUGCAAGGAAGGGGUGCAGAGCCUCCAUGCCCUGUCCAAGCCCACCAUCCCGGAGGCACCUCCUCAAUUCAGGGGUCUGGAAGCACCCCAAGCCCUGCUAUUCUGGUUCCUACGGAGGCCUCAUGACAGAGGCAGGGCUGCUUAUGUCACUGGCCAUUGUGACCAGUUUAACCCUUGGUCUCUCUACCUCCCUGGAAGUUGGGGGAUGGGUCUGAGAGUCCCAACCUUCUAAUCGUUCCUUGGUCUUUCCUAUAACCACCCCCAUCCCAAAGCCAUCUGUGUCUCCAGCUACCACUCACACGUAAGGUACUGACAUUUCUGCCAGUCCAGGGAUUGUAGGAGCUUUAGGAAAUGCGGACUAAACAUACACUUGUCAGUAUCACAGGAUGCCAUCCAUUCACGUUUCUCUGCUAAAUAGUACUCCAGGUAUGAACAGAUAUCAGCAUCCCGAAACUUCCUUGUUAAUAGACAUUUGCACUGUUUCCAGUUUCUUGCUACUAUGAACAGGGCCACUGGGAAAUUUCCGUGUGUUCCUGCCUCGGUGAGCGCCUCAGGGCAUGAACCACGUGUGUCACCAGUUCAUCCAGGCAGCAUCCCAGGUCCUCCCUCCAUCCCAGGCAUUGUCCUUUGGUCCAUUGAUGUAAGAGUACAGGUGAUGAAACUCAUCUCAAGUCCCCAAGAAUUGGCACAGCUCCCUGAUCUGGGGGUGAGUGAACACCUGAUUUCUUUACAAUUCAGUGUUGCUGCCCCUACCCUGCAACUUUGACAAAUGGAGUGAGUGCUCUGUCACUAUAUGAGAAGCUGUGGAGAGGGCAGAGACGGGGCAGCUCCUCUGCUCU
This 1112-nucleotide long non-coding RNA is filed under the name Chinchilla lanigera (long-tailed chinchilla). Its description in RNAcentral is "lncRNA (ENSCLAG00000026361.1)". The record is from RNAcentral. Lineage: Eukaryota; Metazoa; Chordata; Mammalia; Rodentia; Chinchillidae.